Molecule: long non-coding RNA, 1551 nt
Organism: Brachypodium distachyon (stiff brome)
Lineage: Eukaryota; Viridiplantae; Streptophyta; Magnoliopsida; Poales; Poaceae
Exons: 2
Source: RefSeq, a predicted model, not a curated record
ACCUUAUCAAUUUGUGAUGCGAGUACAUCGAUCCACAACAAAAAUACAUAGAAAAAAAGAAAUAGGCAGCAAACUACGAACUUUUCAGCUAGCUAGCAGGCAAAUGCAAGUACCAAAUACUCAUCCCAUGUACCAAAUAGACGUGAACAAGAAAAAUGCAAGUACCAGCUAGGUACAUCAUGUACUCAUCACAUGUACUCAUCCCAAAUAGUAGCACAUACAUCAAAUUCACACCAGAAAUCCCAAAAGGGACGAGGAGGACGCGUGGCCUGGCGAGGGAGAGCACGAAGUGGUGGCCGAGCACCGGGAGUAGCAGCGGUCGCGGCGUCCCGACACGCGGAGCAGCAGCUCGCAGCAUGGGGAGCAGAAGCUCGCGGACCAGCACCUCGCGGCACAUAGAGCAGCAUUACGCGGAGCAGCAGCUCGGCAGGAGCCCGUCCCGUGCCGGAUGGGGACGGGAUGGAGGAGGAGGAGGCGGGGCCGCAAGCGCCGCAGCAACGGAGUCGGUCUUCCCUGCCAUGGCACUUGGGCUCUUGCUGGACGAAGAAAGAAGAAGGGGAGAAAAGAGAAUAGAGAACAGAGAGAGACGAGAGAGGAACGGGAGAGGAAGAACGUGGGUGCCAAGGAUUAGCCAAAAGUACAUAGAGAUUAAGAAGUGAAAGUGAACACGUGGAUGUAGAUAGGUGGGUUGGUACCGGGAGGUUUGGCGUUUAGUGGAGUACCUGUGCCUAAGCAAAAGUGGAGUAAGAAAAACCAGAGAAAAAUGAGUAUUUUAGAUCUUGAGAGAGGAUUUUUUUUCUUUGCCUCUCUUGAUGAUGGACAGCUCCGGCGCGGCGGCUGCUGCUACGGCGGCGGGACGGACGCGCGCGCGGUGGUGCUACUGCCGUUGCUUCCGGCGGUGGGGCCGCUGCUUCUGCUGCUGCUACUGCUGCAACUCCUUCCCCACCCAGGACGACCUCCGACGCGACGCGACGCCGCCGCCUGGCCCCCGCCUCUCCCUGUAGCUAGGGUGGUCUCCAGGUUCACUUUUCGUUUACACAUAUGCGAACCAUGAGGAGAACUGUAUCAGGUUUUGUUGCUAUAGUUCACAAAGAAGUGCAAAAGACGUGAAACUUCAUUAGUUGUUUGGCUGGUUGCUAGACAAAUAUAUACUCCCUCGGUCCCUCAAAAAAGUGACGUGGAUUUGUAUUCCGGACGGAGGAGUACUUAUGUUGCAGCUAGACUAGUAGGCUGUUUGGAUUGGAAGUAAUCUAGUUUAGUUAGAAGUCCAUGACUAAAAUUUUACUACCAUGUGCAAUAACAGGGACCAAUUGUGCUUAUAUCUAUAUCAGUUUGCUAAACCAGAGGUGAAUGCUUCUUGGAACAUACAUUGAGUACUUUAAGGCAUAUGCUUGAACUGUAUAUAAGGUAAUUUCAUGUGCCCCUUUACCGUACAAUGCUUGAAUUACCUGUAUAUAAGGUAAUUUUAUGUAUAUAAGUACAUAUUGAUCAUCCUUGUACAAUCAUACUGCUCCUCUCAGUGUGCAACGGCUGUUUAGCCUGCUAUAAAUU